ACUCUGACCAGCCAUGCCGCGUGCAGGAAGACAGCCCUCUGGGUCGUAAACUGCUUUUAUUCGGGAAUAAACCUCAUUACGUGUCGUGAGCUGAAUGUACCGAAGGAAUAAGGAUCGGCUAACUCCGUGCCAGCAGCCGCGGUAAUACGGAGGAUCCAAGCGUUAUCCGGAUUUAUUGGGUUUAAAGGGUGCGUAGGCGGCUUUUUAAGUCAGGGGUGAAAGACGGUAGCUCAACUAUCGAACUGCCUUUGAUACUGAAGAGCUUGAAUGGACUAGAGGUAGGCGGAAUGUGACAAGUAGCGGUGAAAUGCUUAGAUAUGUCACGGAACACCGAUUGCGAAGGCAGCUUACUAUGGUUUAAUUGACGCUGAUGCACGAAAGCGUGGGGAUCAAACAGGAUUAGAUACCCUGGUAGUCCACGCCCUAAACGAUGAAUACUCGCUGUUAGCGAUACACAGUUAGCGGCUAAGCGAAAGCGUUAAGUAUUCCACCUGGGAGAGUACGGUCGCAAGAUUGAAACUCAAAGGAAUUGACGGGGGGCCCGCACAAGCGGAGGAGCAUGUGGUUUAAUUCGAUGAUACGCGAGGAACCUUACCCGGGCUUGAAAGUUAGUGAAUCAUUUAGAGAUAGAUGA
Molecule: ribosomal RNA, 634 nt
Filed under: Pedobacter sp. Ri1Pw_5754
Lineage: Bacteria; Pseudomonadati; Bacteroidota; Sphingobacteriia; Sphingobacteriales; Sphingobacteriaceae
Description: bacterial SSU rRNA
Rfam family: Bacterial small subunit ribosomal RNA
Source: RNAcentral